This 499-nucleotide ribosomal RNA is filed under the name uncultured Glomeromycotina. RNAcentral describes it as "partial small subunit ribosomal RNA". It matches the Rfam family "Eukaryotic small subunit ribosomal RNA", at positions 591 to 1092 of the family's 1831-position model. The record is from RNAcentral. Lineage: Eukaryota; Fungi; Glomeromycota.
CCAAUAGCGUAUAUUAAGGUUGUUGCAGUUAAAAAGCUCGUAGUUGAAUUUCGGGAUUAAUUUAUUGGUCGUGCAAUCGUACGUACUGGUAUUAUUGAUUCCUACCUUCUGACGAACCAUGAUGUCAUUAAUUUGGUGUUAUGGGGAAUCAGGACUGUUACUUUGAAAAAAUUAGAGUGUUUAAAGCAGGCUCACGCUUGAAUACAUUAGCAUGGAAUAACGAAAUAGGACGUUUGAUUCUAUUUUGUUGGUUUCUAGGAUCGACGUAAUGAUUAAUAGUGAUAGUUGGGGGCAUUAGUAUUCAAUUGUCAGAGGUGAAAUUCUUGGAUUUAUUGAAGACUAACUACUGCGAAAGCAUUUGCCAAGGAUGUUUUCAUUAAUCAAGAACGAAAGUUAGGGGAUCGAAGACGAUCAGAUACCGUCGUAGUCUUAACCAUAAACUAUGCCGACUAGGGAUCGGAUGAUGUUAAUUUUUUAAUGACUCAUUCGGCGCCUUACA